CACACCAGGAAAUAGCGUGGAGGGAGCCCUGGGGCAUUCCGGAAAAUGCAGUCCCUGGCCAGGAUACAUUUAAAAAUCAACAGGUCCAGCUCUUCUAAUGAUAAAACAAUGAAAAACGAAGGUCCAGAGAAAUUGCUUGUUUUGCCCAAAGUCACACAAAUCUAAGUAUUAAAGAAAGAGAUCUUUGAAGAUUCGAAGGUUUUAAAAGUUAUUGGAUAUGAAGUCUUUCAUCAGUUUCCCAGGCAAAUCCCAGAUCAACUGAAAGAAGAGUCUAAAUUGGGAGCCAGGGAAGAAUGUCACAGGUUCACAGCUCCACAAGGAAGCCAUCAAAGAAAUGAUAUGUCCUAAGAGAACUUCUUGAGUACUCCAUGAAUAGUCAAAAGGAAUCAUAGAGAUCAGGAACUCUGAGUGACCCCUUGCCAAAAUUGUUCUCUAAGACUGAGUUCUCUUUCUCCUGGAUCUUGUAUUGUUUAGUGGGUCAUUUGUUCUUAUUGUACAACUUUAGAAAAUAUCCCUAUCUAGAUGAUACUAAAUGGAUAAUCUAUAGGGAAAAGCAUAUUAGUGGGGACAGCCGGUAUUAGAGAAUGAUCUUUCUCCAACUCCUCAGGGAUACCCCUAGUAUGUAGAAAGACUUAUGCAUAGCCUUACUCAAGGACUCAAUUUAUUCAUAUUAGUGGGAUUUGAAUAAGCAUUAUUAAGAGAUUAUUUGGUU
This 712-nucleotide long non-coding RNA is filed under the name Monodelphis domestica (gray short-tailed opossum). RNAcentral describes it as "lncRNA (ENSMODG00000032237.2)". Lineage: Eukaryota; Metazoa; Chordata; Mammalia; Didelphimorphia; Didelphidae. The record is from RNAcentral.